RNAcentral lists this unclassified non-coding RNA (231 nucleotides) under fungal sp. RNAcentral describes it as "partial internal transcribed spacer region". The stretch from base 1 to 48 matches the Rfam family "Eukaryotic small subunit ribosomal RNA", at positions 1784 to 1831 of the family's 1831-position model. The record is from RNAcentral. Lineage: Eukaryota; Fungi.
AAAAGUCGUAACAAGGUUUCCGUAGGUGAACCUGCGGAAGGAUCAUUAACACUUUUUAUUAUUUUGUUUUUUUCUAAAACAAAAUUUAAAACCCCACAAUUUUGGAUGAAUUUAAUUAAUUUAUUUUUUAUUUUAUUUUUUUUUAUUAUAACCCUAUUAUUUGACUAACAUUUUUAUUUAAUUAUUAAAAAAUUAAAAAAACAACUCUUAACAACGGAUAUCUUGGCUCUC